AACAGCCGUAUACCGAACGGUACGUACGGUGGUGUGAGAGGUCGGGGGAAUUAUAUUUCCCCUCCUACUCGAU
This 73-nucleotide non-coding RNA is filed under the name Bacillus sp. es.036. Lineage: Bacteria; Bacillati; Bacillota; Bacilli; Caryophanales; Bacillaceae. The record is from RNAcentral.